This 18-nucleotide microRNA is filed under the name Homo sapiens (human). RNAcentral's name for it is "hsa-miR-4314". The record is from miRBase by way of RNAcentral. Lineage: Eukaryota; Metazoa; Chordata; Mammalia; Primates; Hominidae.
CUCUGGGAAAUGGGACAG